UCCUCAAAUUCCCAAAUAAGCAUUUUAACGGGUUUUGGAAUAGGACCAUUCGCCUCUUCGAACUCCUCUAAUCGAAGAGUACACAAAAAAGAGGGUUCAUUUAUCUUGAAACCUUUACUAAAUUGCAUGGCUGAGAUACUCUUCUCGCCCAUCCUCCCAACCUGUGUAGGGAUGACACACGGCUUAUUACCCAUCAUCAUUAACGAAUCGGAAUAUGGCAACACUGCUGUCUUAGUAUCCCGAAGAAAUUCCAAUCCCAGAAUAAGCUUGAAAUCAUCCAUCUGAACUGCAGAUAAAUUUGUCCUUCCCUCGAAAGGACCUGCUUUGAUCAACACCGAUUUUGCCACUCCAGCUAUUGGUUGAGCAGCGGAGUUGAUUGCUUUGACUUUUCCACUACCCUUUUCUAGAACCAGUCCGAGCCGCUCUACUUCGGUACAUGCAAGGUAGUUGUGGGUAGCACCAGUAUCCACCAUAGCCCUGAUUGGCUUCCCAUUGAUUUUUACAUCAAUGAACAUUAAGCCUUUGGCCCUACAAAUACGAGCCUUCGCUUCUUCCAUCUUUGCUUCAAUGGGACAUCAUCCUUUUCGACAACCCGAUGCGAUAGUGUGUUGUACCGAUGUGAAAAUGCCCCAACUACUUCCUCAUCCUCUUCAGAGUCAGUCUCAUUAUUACAAUUAGCUUGCGGGACCUCUUGUUUCGAACUUGGCCCGCCACUUGCUAAUUGACAAUAUGCAUUCACCAUCCGCUUCUGAGGACACUCCGACACCCGAUGAGGUCCUUCACAUAAAAAGCACUUCAAUUUGAGAGUGGCAUCAGUUCGGCCCUCCGUUGCUUUCCCUUUGUUCCAGUUGUUACUAUUACUGCCGUUAAAAUUUCCCUGACGGCUGUUAUGAUAAUUUCCUUGAAAGCCACGGGUGCUUUGAUAGGCUCCUUCUCUAUUUUGAGAGUAGCGCUCUCCCCCAUUUGGGUUCGAGCUGGGUCUGUAAGAUCUGUUACCACC
This 1000-nucleotide long non-coding RNA is filed under the name Olea europaea (common olive). RNAcentral describes it as "long non-coding RNA (OEUR_LNC007098)". Lineage: Eukaryota; Viridiplantae; Streptophyta; Magnoliopsida; Lamiales; Oleaceae. The record is from RNAcentral.